UGGGGAAUAUUGCACAAUGGGCGCAAGCCUGAUGCAGCCAUGCCGCGUGUGUGAAGAGGGCCUUCGGGUUGUAAAGCACUUUCAGCGGGGAGGAAGGCGGUGAGGUUAAUAACCUCACCGAUUGACGUUACCCGCAGAAGAAGCACCGGCUAACUCCGUGCCAGCAGCCGCGGUAAUACGGAGGGUGCAAGCGUUAAUCGGAAUUACUGGGCGUAAAGCGCACGCAGGCGGUCUGUCAAGUCGGAUGUGAAAUCCCCGGGCUCAACCUGGGAACUGCAUUCGAAACUGGCAGGCUAGAGUCUUGUAGAGGGGGGUAGAAUUCCAGGUGUAGCGGUGAAAUGCGUAGAGAUCUGGAGGAAUACCGGUGGCGAAGGCGGCCCCCUGGACAAAGACUGACGCUCAGGUGCGAAAGCGUGGGGAGCAAACAGG
This 429-nucleotide ribosomal RNA is filed under the name Chloroflexota bacterium. RNAcentral's name for it is "Chloroflexi bacterium partial 16S ribosomal RNA". It matches the Rfam family "Bacterial small subunit ribosomal RNA", at positions 355 to 776 of the family's 1533-position model. The record is from RNAcentral. Lineage: Bacteria; Bacillati; Chloroflexota.